UAGGGAAUCUUCGGCAAUGGGGGCAACCCUGACCGAGCAACGCCGCGUGAGUGAAGAAGGUUUUCGGAUCGUAAAGCUCUGUUGUAAGAGAAGAACGUGUGUGAGAGUGGAAAGUUCACACAGUGACGGUAACUUACCAGAAAGGGACGGCUAACUACGUGCCAGCAGCCGCGGUAAUACGUAGGUCCCGAGCGUUGUCCGGAUUUAUUGGGCGUAAAGCGAGCGCAGACGGUUUAAUAAGUCUGAAGUUAAAGGCAGUGGCUUAACCAUUGUUCGCUUUGGAAACUGUUAAACUUGAGUGCAGAAGGGGAGAGUGGAAUUCCAUGUGUAGCGGUGAAAUGCGUAGAUAUAUGGAGGAACACCGGUGGCGAAAGCGGCUCUCUGGUCUGUAACUGACGCUGAGGCUCGAAAGCGUGGGGAGCAAACAGG
RNAcentral lists this ribosomal RNA (429 nucleotides) under bacterium. RNAcentral's name for it is "partial 16S ribosomal RNA". It matches the Rfam family "Bacterial small subunit ribosomal RNA", at positions 355 to 776 of the family's 1533-position model. The record is from RNAcentral.